Long non-coding RNA from Ictalurus punctatus (channel catfish), 2713 nucleotides. NCBI's taxonomy places the organism in Eukaryota, Metazoa, Chordata, Actinopteri, Siluriformes, Ictaluridae. The record is from Ensembl.
AAUGGAAGUGAAUGAGAUACUGUGCACAUGUGGGUGAUUCAUUAUUUUGGGGGAUCAUUCAAGCCCUGGGCUAGCCCACUCUUCUGCUGGUAAACCCGAGCCCUGUGAUUUGUUUAAUAAAGUUAUGUCUUUUUGGUUGGUAUCUUUACUCCGGCAGCAACUAUUUGUGCGCUGCAAAAAAGGAAUUCAAAAAGUUGAAAAAAAGCCUUAUUUCUGGGAAGUGAGUUUUAUUGUUUUGUGUAAAAAGAAAAAUAAUCUUGCCACACGUGUUUUGCAUUAGAAAAGUAAUCUCAUUAUAAGAAAAAAAUAUUUGUCGUAACAUUGUCUUAAGAUCUUCCAGCUAAUAUUGAGCUGGAUUUUAACCAGUAACAAGUUACAACAAUGGUUUGCAUAAUAUCCCCAGCAGAGGAAAAAUAAUGUUUUCCUUAUUUAAAAAUAAAAAUGCUAAAAAUAACAAUGCUUCUAGUGUCUUAAUGUAAGAAAAGUUGUUUAUUUUUAUUAUGAUGUUUGGAGUAUUUGUGUCUUAUUGUAAGUUUUAUUUUUGCUAACUAUUAAUCUUAGAUUAAGGGGUAAAUUCUUAGUCAGCUCGGUCAAGAGAACAAAAUAAUACUUUGCUGUGCUUGUAAUAAGCACAACUUGCUUAAAUUUUUGGCAUUUUUGCCUUGUUUAAAGGCCCAUUACAGGCUUUCAGUGGCUAAACUUUUAUGCUAGUUUUAAAAAUUCUAGCCAAGCAAAACUGGCUUACUGCAUUGGCAUAUUUUCAUUGCUUGAUACAAGAUAAUAUGAUUAUUUUAAAGAAUAUUUUAUUCUUUCUAGUAGGGCUGUUUUUGCUGUGUGAGUAAGCAAUUGCUCUUGCGUGUGUAAUUGACAUUCUGCAUUUGAUCAAAUCUCAAUGUAUUUAUUGCUGAGAAGUCAAACCUGUGUGUCCUUUCCCUGAUGUAUUCACCAGGGUGGCAGUAGUCGGUUGCCUAUUUCCUUUAAGACCCCUUGUCCAUCACACAUACAUCUAUUUUGGGGACAAAUAGAAUUGGAAUUUACUAAAAUUAGUAAAAGAUUAAUAUAUGACCAGUAGACAGUUAUCUGACACUUAAAGUUAAACAAUAUCAAGAGUCAGUGAACUCAGUGUGGUGUGGUGGUCAACUGAUUUGCUGUGUUUUUGUGGACAGUGAUGAGACAGUGAGGGAAUUGUGGUUAGUGUCAGCUGUUUAUAUGAAGUUUUACUAUGAAGAUUUUAUACAGUGACUUCUAUUCACCAUAUAAUUGUGAGUGGUUCAAUGUGUCAAAUUCAGCUCCAGGAUACCCAGUUUGAUCCUGAGCUCUGUGAAGAGUUUCACAUGUUCUCUCUGUUUCCAUGUGGGUUUAAAUGAGAUGGUUAAAAUCUAAUGCCUAUUGACAAUGGUGGAACAAUAUCCUUUUUGCCCAAAUGGGUUUCAGACUGUGUUUACAAAAACUAGACAGACAGGUUCUGUCUUCUGUCCUUUGGUGUACUUCGUUCUUUGAUUGGACAAUGUGUGCUUAGUCUAUCUACUCUUAAUUUCUCCUUCAAAUGCAUUUUCACUGUUUGUAAUUACCUGCCACAACUGUCACCGAUAUGUAGUGUGGGCUAGAAAGAAAUCAGUCCCAGCCUCACUUUUAUAUUUCUCCUAUGACCAUUGGUGGUGCUGUUUGAUUCCACAAAAAUCCAAAAUAAUCCACUUUAAAACAUCUCUUCAUAGCAACUAAUCUGAUGUUUAUGGCAAAAAUGAAACCUUAUACUUGUCUACUUGUAUACUAAUGUAUUUUUGAUGUCUGGUAUAAAUGUACAAGCAGUGGGGGUUAGCUCAUUUAUACAAGCCACCCUUGAUAUAAGGAGCAUCCAGUAUCAUUAGCCUUUUGACAGAAGAUCUGUGACUGUGAAUGCUACAUACACCGAUCAGCCAUAACAUUAAAACCAGUGACCGGUGACGUGAAUAACAUUGAUUAUCUGGUUACAAUGACACUUGUUAUUGUGGGAUAUAUUAGGCAGCAGGUGAACAGUUGAUGUCUUGGAAGUAGGAAAAACAGGCAAACGUAAGGAUCUGAGUGACAAGGGCCAAAUUGUGAUGGCUAAACGACUGGGUCAGAGCAUCUCCAGAACAGCGGGUCUUGUGGGUUUUCCCAGUAUGCAGUGGUUAGUACCUCCCAAAUAUGGUUCAAGGAAGGACAACCGAUGAACCAGCGACAGGGUCAUGGGCACCCAAGGCCCACAGAUGCACGUGGGGAGUGAAGGCUAGCCUGUCUGGUCUGAUCCCACAGAAGAGCUACUGUAUCACAUAUUGGUGAAAAGUUAAUGCUGACUAUGAUAGAAAGGUGUCAGAACACACAGUGCAUCAUAGCUUGCUGCGUAUGGGCUUGCAUAACCCAGACCAGUCAAAAUGCCCAUCUUCAUGUCAGAUACCACAGCACACCUUCAGAGGACUUGUGGAGUCCUUGCCUCGAUGGGUCAAAGCUGUUUUUGUGGGGACAUACACAAUAUUUUGCAGGUGGUUUUAAUGUUAUGGCUGAUCAGUUUAUCUGUCGUAUGCGAAAGUGUAGUUUAAAAUUUGGUAGUAUGAAUAUGGUAGUAUGGAAAAAAAGCAAUAGCAUUAUAAUUGCUCAAUCUUCAUCAUUCAUGCAUCUGGAUACACCAUGUGUAAUCACAUAAAAGAACUUGUAAAUUACUGUAGAACAAAUAGUUCUAGUAAAUUAUUUACAU